Molecule: ribosomal RNA, 496 nt
Filed under: uncultured bacterium
Lineage: Bacteria
Description: partial 16S ribosomal RNA
Rfam family: Bacterial small subunit ribosomal RNA
Source: RNAcentral
AUGAACGCUGGCGGCGUGCCUAAUACAUGCAAGUCGAGCGAACAGAUGAGGAGCUUGCUCCUCUGACGUUAGCGGCGGACGGGUGAGUAACACGUGGAUAACCUACCUAUAAGACUGGGAUAACUUCGGGAAACCGGAGCUAAUACCGGAUAAUAUAUUGAACCGCAUGGUUCCAUAGUGAAAGACGGUUUUGCUGUCACUUAUAGAUGGAUCCGCGCCGCAUUAGCUAGUUGGUAAGGUAACGGCUUACCAAGGCAACGAUGCGUAGCCGACCUGAGAGGAUGAUCGGCCACACUGGAACUGAGACACGGUCCAGACUCCUACGGGAGGCAGCAGUAGGGAAUCUUCCGCAAUGGGCGAAAGCCUGACGGAGCAACGCCGCGUGAGUGAUGAAGGUCUUCGGAUCGUAAAACUCUGUUAUUAGGGAAGAACAAAUGUGUAAGUAACUAUGCACGUCUUGACGGUACCUAAUCAGAAAGCCACGGCUAACUACGUG